Molecule: ribosomal RNA, 774 nt
Filed under: uncultured Neocallimastigales
Lineage: Eukaryota; Fungi; Neocallimastigomycota; Neocallimastigomycetes; Neocallimastigales
Description: partial large subunit ribosomal RNA
Rfam family: Eukaryotic large subunit ribosomal RNA
Source: RNAcentral
UAUGUGAUCGUCUCUCGCAUAUCAAUAAGCGGAGGAAAAGAAACUAACAAGGAUUCCCCUAGUAACGGCGAGUGAAGCGGGAAGAGCUCAAAUUUGAAAUCUUAAAGGGUUUCCCUUUACGAAUUGUAGUUUAAAGAAGUGUUUUCUGUUGAGGUUUUGGUAAAAGUUCUUUGGAAUAGGACAUCAUAGAGGGUGAGAAUCCCGUAUUUGACCUUUACUUUCAACUUUGUGAUACACUUUCAAAGAGUCGGAUUGUUUGGGAAUGCAGUCCAAAAUGGGUGGUAAAUUUCAUCUAAAGCUAAAUAUUGGCGAGAGACCGAUAGCGAACAAGUACCGUGAGGGAAAGAUGAAAAGAACUUUGAAAAGAGAGUUAAACAGUACGUGAAAUUGUCAAAAGGGAAGCGUUUGACACCAGUGUUGUUUUUCUGAAAAUCAAUUAAAGAACUGUUUAUGCUAAGUUGUUUAGACUUUAUCAGCUAACUGUUUAGUUUUGAGCUUUUCUUUAAUGCACUUUUCAGUUAACAAGUCAACAUCAAUUUCUUUUGCUGUAAAAAAGCUUGAGGAAGGUGGCCUGAGAUUCGUCUUAAGUGUUUAUAGCCUCUUGCCUAUGCAGUCGGAGAGAUUGAGGUCUGCAGCGUAGAUCCUUCGGGGCUAAAUGCAUUUGUGCUAAGUUAUAGCAUUUUAUAGACAACUUGUUGACUAUGAUUUGUCUUGUAGCUUACUCGCUUAUGUUAUUUUACCUACGCUUAGGAUGUUGAACGCGCACAGAGUCUC